Molecule: ribosomal RNA, 465 nt
Filed under: Vreelandella stevensii
Lineage: Bacteria; Pseudomonadati; Pseudomonadota; Gammaproteobacteria; Oceanospirillales; Halomonadaceae
Description: partial 16S ribosomal RNA
Rfam family: Bacterial small subunit ribosomal RNA
Source: RNAcentral
CCUACGGGUGGCUGCAGUGGGGAAUAUUGGACAAUGGGCGAAAGCCUGAUCCAGCCAUGCCGCGUGUGUGAAGAAGGCCUUCGGGUUGUAAAGCACUUUCAGUGGGGAAGAAAGCCUUGGGGCUAAUACCCUCGAGGAAGGACAUCACCCACAGAAGAAGCACCGGCUAACUCCGUGCCAGCAGCCGCGGUAAUACGGAGGGUGCGAGCGUUAAUCGGAAUUACUGGGCGUAAAGCGCGCGUAGGCGGUCUGAUAAGCCGGUUGUGAAAGCCCCGGGCUCAACCUGGGAACGGCAUCCGGAACUGUCAGGCUAGAGUGCAGGAGAGGAAGGUAGAAUUCCCGGUGUAGCGGUGAAAUGCGUAGAGAUCGGGAGGAAUACCAGUGGCGGAGGCGGCCUUCUGGACUGACACUGACGCUGAGGUGCGAAAGCGUGGGUAGCAAACAGGAUUAGAUACCCUAGUAGUC